UACGUAGGUGGCGAGCGUUGUCCGGAUUUACUGGGCGUAAAGGGCGUGCAGGCGGUCUGCUAAGUCUAGGGUGAAAGCUCCCGGCUCAACUGGGAGAGGUCCUUGGAUACUGACAGACUUGAGGGAGGCAGAGGAGAAUGGAAUUCCCGGUGUAGUGGUGAUAUGCGUAGAUAUCGGGAGGAACACCAGUGGCGAAGGCGGUUCUCUGGGCCUUACCUGACGCUGAGACGCGAAAGCGUGGGGAGCGAACCGG
RNAcentral lists this ribosomal RNA (253 nucleotides) under uncultured bacterium. Its description in RNAcentral is "partial 16S ribosomal RNA". It matches the Rfam family "Bacterial small subunit ribosomal RNA", at positions 524 to 776 of the family's 1533-position model. The record is from RNAcentral.